GUUGCUGUGGUGUAGUGGUUAUCACGUUUGUCUUACACACAAAAGGUCCCCAGUUUGAUCCUGGGCAGCAGCA
This 73-nucleotide transfer RNA is filed under the name Carthamus tinctorius (safflower). RNAcentral's name for it is "tRNA-Val (TAC) (tRNA-Val-TAC-5-1)". It matches the Rfam family "tRNA". From Rfam's summary of the family: Transfer RNA (tRNA) molecules are approximately 80 nucleotides in length. Their secondary structure includes four short double-helical elements and three loops (D, anti-codon, and T loops). Further hydrogen bonds mediate the characteristic L-shaped molecular structure. tRNAs have two regions of fundamental functional importance: the anti-codon, which is responsible for specific mRNA codon recognition, and the 3' end, to which the tRNAs corresponding amino acid is attached (by aminoacyl-tRNA synthetases). tRNAs cope with the degeneracy of the genetic code in two manners: having more than one tRNA (with a specific anti-codon) for a particular amino acid; and 'wobble' base-pairing, i.e. permitting non-standard base-pairing at the 3rd anti-codon position. The record is from RNAcentral. Lineage: Eukaryota; Viridiplantae; Streptophyta; Magnoliopsida; Asterales; Asteraceae.